RNAcentral lists this transfer RNA (77 nucleotides) under halophilic archaeon. RNAcentral describes it as "tRNA-Gln". The stretch from base 7 to 64 matches the Rfam family "tRNA", at positions 8 to 63 of the family's 71-position model. From Rfam's summary of the family: Transfer RNA (tRNA) molecules are approximately 80 nucleotides in length. Lineage: Archaea; Methanobacteriati; Methanobacteriota; Halobacteria; Halobacteriales. The record is from RNAcentral.
GUCCCGUGGUGUAGUGGCCAAUCAUAAUGGCCUUUGGAGCCAUUGACGGCGGUUCGAAUCCGCAUAAAUCGCCACCA